Molecule: long non-coding RNA, 467 nt
Organism: Oncorhynchus keta (chum salmon)
Lineage: Eukaryota; Metazoa; Chordata; Actinopteri; Salmoniformes; Salmonidae
Exons: 3
Source: RefSeq, a predicted model, not a curated record
CCUGUAUAUAGCCUCGUUAUUGUCAUUCUUAUUGUGUUACUUUUUAUUAUAACUUUUUUAUUUUAGUCUACUUGGUAAAUAUUUUCUUAACCAACACUACAGUUCAAGAAGAGGGCUGGUCAGUAAGCAUUUCGCGCUAAGGUCUACACUUGUUGUAUUCGGCAUUUCACUGUAUGGUCUACUACACUUGUUGUAUUCGGCAUUUCACUGUAAGGUCUACUACACUUGUUGUAUUCGGCAUUUCACUGUAAGGUCUACUACACCUGUUGUAUUCAGCAUUUCACUGUAAGGUCUACUACACCUGCUGUAUUCGGCAUUUCACUGUAAGGUCUACUACACUUGUUGUAUUCGGCAUUUCACUGUAAGGUCUACUACACCUGUUGUAUUCGGCAUUUCACUGUAAGGUCUACUACACUUGUUGUAUUCGGCAUUUCACUGUAAGGUCUACUACACCUGUUGUAUUCGGC